GACGAACGCUGGCGGCGUGCUUAACACAUGCAAGUCGAACGAAGAGCGAUGGAAGCUUGCUUCUAUCAAUCUUAGUGGCGAACGGGUGAGUAACGCGUAAUCGACCUGCCCUUCAGAGGGGGACAACAGUUGGAAACGACUGCUAAUACCGCAUACGAUCUAAUCUCGGCAUCGAGGAUAGAUGAAAGGUGGCCUCUAUUUAUAAGCUAUCACUGAAGGAGGGGAUUGCGUCUGAUUAGCUAGUUGGAGGGGUAACGGCCCACCAAGGCGAUGAUCAGUAGCCGGUCUGAGAGGAUGAACGGCCACAUUGGGACUGAGACACGGCCCAGACUCCUACGGGAGGCAGCAGUGGGGAAUCUUACGCAAUGGACGAAAGUCUGACGGAGCAACGCCGCGUGAGUGAUGACGGCCUUCGGGUUGUAAAGCUCUGUUAAUCGGGACGAAAGGCCUUCUG
RNAcentral lists this ribosomal RNA (454 nucleotides) under Veillonella dispar. RNAcentral describes it as "bacterial SSU rRNA". It matches the Rfam family "Bacterial small subunit ribosomal RNA", at positions 28 to 459 of the family's 1533-position model. The record is from RNAcentral. Lineage: Bacteria; Bacillati; Bacillota; Negativicutes; Veillonellales; Veillonellaceae.